Entelurus aequoreus (snake pipefish) is the source of this 3800-nucleotide RNA transcript. It is a transcript of the gene named kazrin, periplakin interacting protein b, with no coding region annotated. The transcript is spliced from 12 exons. NCBI's taxonomy places the organism in Eukaryota, Metazoa, Chordata, Actinopteri, Syngnathiformes, Syngnathidae. The record is from RefSeq and is a predicted model, not a curated record.
UUCCUCCCAUCCCUCACCCCCUCCCAUCCCUACCAUCAUCAUCAUCAUCAUCAUCAUCAUCAUCUGCACACGAGGAUGGAGGACACGCUCACCUGCGGCCACGCGACCGCCUUCUCUCAGGUGUUCGGGCGGCAGGGACAGCUGAUGCAAGCCACCGUCCAGUCUCUCAACAGCCUCAACGACCAGAUCGCUCAGUUCAUGGUGACCCGGCCAUGGACCCUGGACCAGCGGGACCGGGACUUCAUGCCGGGGGACACCUUGACCAAGUCCAUGAGCCUUAUGAGACACCUGCUAAUGGAUGCACAGGGGAAGAUCCUCAACAUGAUGGAGGACAACAAGCAGCUGGCCCAGAGGAUCGACGGGGCCAUCCGCUCGGCCAGCCAGGAAGUCAGCAACCUGCGCUCCGAGCUGACCGCCACCAACUGCAGACUGGCGGGCCUGGGGGGUGCCGGCGGCCCCCCCGCCUUGGAGAACCACCGGCAGCGCAACCACCUCCUGCACCACCACCACCACCACGCCGACAGCCUCCGCUACCGGGAUGCUUCAGUGCAUCACAGACAGAAGACGCUGGUGACGGACAUGUGCUACCCUGCAGAGAUCUCCAGCCUGAUGGACUUCGGCUCCCCCGACUGCUCGUUGGGCAAAGUGUUGUUGCACGAGGAGGUGGCCCAGCUGCAGGAAGAGGUCCAACUGCUGAGGCAAAUGAAGGACAUGCUGGGCAAAGAUCUGCAGGAUCAGUCCCAAGGAGGAGGAGGAGGAGGCACCACCACCGGCCUGCUCUCUGCCGCGGAGCUCCGGGCUCAGCUGGGCGACAAGGAGCAGGAGUUGGACCGCGCCAAGGAGGCCUUACAAGCAAUGAAAGCCGACCGUAAGCGUCUAAAAGGGGAGAAGGGCGACCUGACGAGUCAGAUGCAGCAGCUGUACACAACACUGGAGAGCAGAGAGGACCAGCUCCGAGAAUUCAUACGCAACUACGACCAGCAUCGAAAGGAGAGCGAGGACGCGGUGAAGGUCCUUGCCAGGGAGAAGGACGUGCUGGAGAGGGAGAAGUGGGACCUGAGGAGGCAGACCAAAGAGGCCACGGAGCAGGCCAACAUACUGCGCUCUCAGCUGGACAUGAAGGAGAACCGGAUCAAGGAGCUGGAGGCGGAGCUUACCAUGGCUAAGCAGUCUCUGGCCACGCUGACUAAAGACGUACCGAAGCGCCACUCGUUAGCGUCCACGACUGAGCCCAUGGUGAACGGCAGUCAGGAGUGGGUGAUGCAGGCCGACCUCCCGCUGACCGCCGCCAUCCGGCAGAGCCAGCAAACGCUCUACCACGGACACAACGCGGACAGACAAGCUGUGGUCAAGAUUAGUCCCUGCCACUCGCGCCAGCCGUCCGUCAUCUCGGACGCCUCGGCCGCAGACGGGGACCGCUCGUCUACGCCCAGCGACAUCAACUCUCCUCGCCACCGGACUCACUCGCUCUGCAAUUCCAUGGAGGACUUGGAGGACCAGAAGCGUAAGAAGAAAAAGGAGAAGAUGACUUUAGGCUCCCUGUCACGCGUCUUCGCCCGAGGAAAGCAGCGCAAGUCACUGGACCCGGGCCUGUUUGAUGGUACUGCCACACCCAAUUAUUACAUAGAGGAGGAUGCCGACUGGUGAUGCCGAGUGUGUGAGAGCGUGUGCGCGUGUGUGUGUGCGUGUGUAUUUGAACGUGUGCGUCAUAGCCUAAAAGAGACUGCUUCUCCAUCAAAUGUAUAGUAUAUUAUCCUCAGAUUGUAUGUAUGUAAAUUAUAUAUAUAUUUAUAGAUGUAUGCAUAUGUAUAUACGUUUACAUGCAUAUAAAUAUAUACAUGGGGUUAUUAUCACUCAAUGUGUACACAUGCUGUAUUAUCUUCAACUUGUCUUUUUGUUUUUCUACAACUGGAGACUUGAAGGACUGCUGUUCAUGUAAAAAAUAGGAGUGUCUUUACUGUUAUAAUUUUUUUUUUUUUUUUUUUUACAUUUACCACGCUUUCUAUCCCACACAGCCCAUUUCACACAAUCUCGCUGGCUUUAAGCUGUUUUUUUAUUUUAUUUUGGACACAUUGCCAAUUUGUUGCUUUGUUAAUAUAAAAACCGGUCAUUUAAAUGUCCCUCAGUGAUGUAAAGUCAUAGGAGCUGCUUAAGUGCUGAUUAUGCAGUUAUAACAUAUCACACUGUAGGUUAUUAGCGUGCAAAACAGUAAAAACAAGUGCAUUUAGGCAAUAAAGGUCAUCCUAAUACCGUUUUUCCUCAAAAUGCAAUUAAACACUUAAGUGGUUCCUCUAGGUGCCUGUAAUUACUGUACCUGCUACACUGCAAAAAGUAAGUGUUCAAAAACAAGGUAAAAAAAUACAAAAAUGAGGGGUAUUUUAUUUGAACUAAGCAAAAUUAUCUGCCAAUAGAACAAGAAAAUUUGGCUUGUCAAGACUUUCCAAAACAAGUAAAAUUAGCUAACCUCAAUGAACCCAAAAAUACCGUAUUUCCUUGAAUAGCCACAGGGGCGCUAAUUAAUUUAAAACCUCCUGUCACUCCUGCGCUUACCAGAAGCCUGCGGGAUGGCCAAGCAUGCGCUAAUUAUUGUAAAACCUCUUCUCACUCCGGCGCUUACCUAAUCAGGAAAGCACAUUUAAUAAAAAAAACCUUAUUAUUGUCUUACCUUUAGGUAUAAAUGAGUCCAUGCCAGCUCCUUCUGAAGAAAAGCAUCGAUAUAGAAGUCUUCCUUAUCUUUCUUCAGUUUUAAAAGUCUCUCUGUCUCGAUGGAGAUCUUCCUUUUAAGUAUUACCUCCUGCUUCGAUUGAAAGUCCAGUUUAGAAACUGUUUUAUUUUAGAUAUGUAAUCCUCCAUGGUAAAAGUCCAAGCAAACAAUGGCUGCGCACUCUUGCUGCCGGUUGUCUUAUUCUGCUGCACCGGUGUUCUGCAGUACCAGCAGUCGCAAGAAGGAUCACUAGCGCCCUCUACCACCAGGAGGCGGGAGUCAUUUAAUGACUUAUAUUUGACCCGGCGGAAGUGCCAAGCAUGCGCUAAUUAUUUUGCGAAACGAGUGUGACCCGGCUGUAAUUCGAGGCAUGCGAAUACCAUAUUCCCGGCGCCAAUUCAAGGAAAUACGGUACCUUAAAAUAAGUAUAUUCUCACUAAUAACAAGUGCACUUUUCUUGAUAGAAAAAAAAAAAUAGACCUUUUUGCUCAAUAUGUUGAAAAAUAUUCUUAAAUGAAGUAGAUGCUAGUGCCAUUAUCUUGACAUAAUGAUAUGCGCUCGGCAUUACAUUUCUUGAAACCAGCAAACUUAUACUAAAAACUAAUUUAUUGUUCUUAAUGGAAAGGCAAUAAGGCAACAUCUUGUUACUCUCGGGGUCUCCUAGCCGUCUAAAAAUGCAUUUUUCCAUUGAUAGCAUGACAUCAUCGCGUCAAGUGUGUGCUCUUUCAGUCAAUUAGUGCGCAUAUAUACAGCCCGGCCCCCGGCCAAAAUGUUUUUAAUUGUAAUUUUGAAGAAUUUAUUUGAAUGUGCAUGAACCUUUUCUGUUCAAAAUUAUUAGAAAUGUUAAAUGUGUAAAUAUUAACUGUCAGUUUACUGUACUGUGCCAACUGUACUACUAUAUGAGUACGUAUUUUCUCUUGUUUCAUUGAAAAUAAAACAGCAAAGUCCAUUUGGCCGUCAUCCGUUUUAAUUAUGAGACACAAUUGUGUCAAAAUCGUGAUUUUUUUUUGUUCAUGCUUGAAAUAAGAAAUUUUUACUUUAAAAAAAGUAGUUUUAUACUUGUGAGUGUUGAUGACACAACAGUUGAUAUUCUAGU